CUGGGCUGGACAACGGCGGACCGUCCUAGAAAUAGGAUUUUCCCUUCGGGGACUGCCGGUUCAGGUGCUGCAUGGCUGUCGUCAGCUCGUGCCGUGAGGUGUUGGGUUAAGUCCCGCAACGAGCGCAACCCUCGUCCUUAGUUGCCACCAUUCAGUUGGGCACUCUAGGGAGACUGCCGGCGUUAAGCCGGAGGAAGGUGGGGACGACGUCAAGUCAUCAUGGCCCUUAUGUCCAGGGCCACACACGUGCUACAAUGGACGGUACAAAGGGUCGCAAACCCGCGAGGGGGAGCCAAUCCCAAAAAGCCGUUCUCAGUUCGGAUUGGAGUCUGCAACUCGACUCCAUGAAGUUGGAAUCGCUAGUAAUCGCGGAUCAGCACGCCGCGGUGAAUACGUUCCC
This 400-nucleotide ribosomal RNA is filed under the name uncultured bacterium. Its description in RNAcentral is "bacterial SSU rRNA". It matches the Rfam family "Bacterial small subunit ribosomal RNA", at positions 975 to 1375 of the family's 1533-position model. The record is from RNAcentral.